Solanum tuberosum (potato) is the source of this 3376-nucleotide long non-coding RNA. RefSeq lists it as uncharacterized. The record is from RefSeq and is a predicted model, not a curated record. NCBI's taxonomy places the organism in Eukaryota, Viridiplantae, Streptophyta, Magnoliopsida, Solanales, Solanaceae. The transcript is spliced from 4 exons.
CUGGGCUUGGUCGUCAUCUGUAGCAUCUCGAACCAUCUUAAUAUCUCUCACCACAGGCGAGUUGGUCAUCUGAUAAAUGCAAAAGGAGAUUAUUUUAUGUCUUCACUCAUUUUUUGCACAUCAAACGCAAGCUGACAUGUUAUUGUUCUUUCUUGCUGCAAACCAAGUAAAUUGAUUACCUUUGUUGGCACCUGUGAAUCCAAAUUGACAAGUGCAGGAAACCUGAUCCAUACUGACUAUAACAGCUUACAGUAAUAUGAUUUUACCAAGAACCAUAGAUAUGGUUCUUGUAUGUAUAGAGGACUAAGUUACUUCUUUGAGAACCAUAUUUUGAUCUAGGUCUCACUACUUUUUUUACGAUUUUCCCAUCAUUGAUAUCAUUACUUACCUUAUUAAAAAAGCAUAUUGAGAAUUAUUAUUUUGACAAAUUUGGAAGAACUGCACUUGGUCAUGAAUUCUGGAAGGAAGUAAUCAAAUGACUAAUACUUCAUUGGGCAUUAGGAGGAUUGAGAAAAGGACUGUUCAAUUGCUGCUUCACAUUCUUUCAGAAGCCCUUCCGUUUUUCGUCAUUUGGUUGGUGUACUACCAGUGCUAUUGCUUCCAAAUUUAGGCACACAGCGAAGCUGCUUCCUGACUUAGCUGCCAGUAUUUAUUAGACUCCAUGACAGUCUGACUCUGAGACGUUAGCAAGAUGCUUAUACUCCUUGUUGUAUCUGAAAAUCUAGCUUUGAUGUCUCACUCCUCGUUCUGCAAAUUGUUGCAGCUAUAGGCAAUUGCUGAAUGCUCUUGCUGUGGACAGCCCAUUAUAUGCCCUUAAUUCUAGUAACACAAAGGACGACUUCCUUUCUUGUCUUUUGUUACAUUCAUUUAAUUCUGAAAUCCCGAUAUUUUGUGUCUAUGAUAGUUACGUGCCACUGUUCUCAUCUUCUUUUAGAGAUCAGAUAUGGUUCAUUUUUCAUUUUCACGAGACCCUCUUUUUAUCUGCCCACUACUCUCUAGAUGACUAGGACCAUCAAAUUGAAGAGGGAAAUAACACUUCUUGCUGUAGUCUACUUAUAUACCGGCAAUCUCUGGUUCUUCCUCUACUUUGUUGUAUGUUACUGGAUAUAUUUGGAAACCAGUUGGAAGAAACACUAACCUCUUUUAGAACCAGGGUGGUUUUCUGCUCAUUGUCUUGAAGAGUCUCAUCCAGAAGCAAUCAGCCCUUGGUACGGCACAACUCAAAGUUAAUGCUCAUGUCUGCCACAGUAGAUUCACAUUUGUUUUCUCAUUACUUUGGUCACUGCCCUGUAAUUACUGCUCAAGGCCGAACACAUCCUGUUUCAACUUAUUUUCUCAAGGAAAUUUAUGAGAGUAUCAAUUACCGCCUUGCAUAUGAUUCUCCUGAUUCUUUAAGUUAUGGGACAUCUACUAGGGAAAAGAAUGCUCCUAUUGGCAAUCAUAGGGGGGAAAAGAACCUUGUCCUCUCUGCAUUGGGUGAUGAAUCAUUGCUUACAUAAAUCCCCAUUAUGAUUCCAGUAAUUAUCAAAAUUACAGUGGACAAACUCAAAAGAAAAAUUGGUGAUUGCUUCUUAAAAGUAGUUUUCAGUGAUGCUAAUUAAGAUCCUAAAAACUUAACUGAAAGAAUACUGUGAUGAACCAUCUCUCACUAUGUCAGAGGAAAUUGAAUGAAGACAUUGUGGAUUAUGAUCUUCUCAAAGACCUGUUUUAUGCCUGCAGAAGAAAGGAAUAUUGACUUGUGAAUUGUGUUCUGCUGAAGGGGGUUUCCGAAAUACACACCUAACUCGAUAGACUGUCUGUCUCCUUUCAGUUUAGUGGACAAUCUUUUGAAUGGAUUAUUCUGUAGCAUCAGGAAAAAGUAUUUAUGAGACCUCCAGAAAACAUCGGUAAGGUAAUAUUUUCUAUUCAAUCGCAUGUUCUUUCAUUGUAGACAUUAUGCUUUUCUGAUUCACCAUUGAAUGCAUGCUAUCUUCAAUUUGGGUUCAUUUCCCCUCUGUGCUUUUCUGUUCUCUUUCAUGAGUGGGUUAUUCAGUGUCUUGUGUUAUUAAUAUGCGUCACUGUCUGAACACAAUUAAUUCAAGUAAUUACUCCCUGAAGGCUAAAUGCUUAUUAUCUUUAUAUAGCUGGUGUAAACUAACUCCUGUCACUAGUAUUGAACACUUCUCGAGUUUUGUCAGCUCUUUAGCAUCUUAAUUUCUAUUUGUAUCAGAGCUGACAAUUCCUCACGUUUGUAACUCUUUGCAUGUUCUCGAUGCCAGCAAUGAAUUCUACUUACUUCCUCAAAAAAGAGUAAUGUUGGAAGAUGGUAAAUUGUUGUUUCUCUCUGUAGUGCAGGAAUUCAUUUUGAUGAUUUGCCCCUAGAAAAUGCUUGAAUUGAACAUAUGCCUGGGCUUGCAAGUUGCCUUUCACUAGAACUAGUAAUUGGACUUUUUUAGACUUUUCAAGCUCUGACUUGCAAUACCAGUGUUAUGGCAACUCCAUCUAGAUAAUAGCUGCUGCCUAGCAGUACUGCUCUAAAAAAUGUGUGCAUGUAACCAUGGAUGCAUUUCCAAUCUUAAGUUUGCUCUCUGACUCAUAUUUGGAUUUUGGUAUUAGAAUUAGAAAUUGACUGUGAGAUAUGUUCAGCAUUUCGAUUUGGAUAGAAAAAUAUUUGUCUAUAGUUGGCUAUGACUAGGUCCAGAAGAUAUGUUUCAGCCCACACAUGUAUUGAACUUUUAUGAGUUUCGUUUAAAGAAAUGUCAAUUCCCUUUGCUUUUUGUACCAGUAAUCAUGUUUUCUACUGCAUAAAGUUAUUGAUUUUAGAAAUUAUCAAGCUUGGUUGAAGAUUGGAUAUCUGAAGCAAAUGCAAGGCAACGUCAAGGCAGAGCUGGACGUGUAAAGCCAUGAAUCUGCUUUUGUCUCUACACUUGUUACCGAAAUGAGAAGCUCAUGCUACCAGGUAUGGGGUAUUAGUGGGUUUUCCUCGUUAUUCUAUCUGCUACUUCUCUUCUUUGUUUCAAGAUGUUAUUUUCUUAAUGCAAUACAAAUGAUAUCCUAAUUAUUACACUAUAAGAAAUUUAUUUUGCAGGUCAAUCCGUUCAUUUACCACCAUAGUGUUAACUGUUAAGUGAAUGGGGUCUGUCGGGUACUCUCUUCUCUGAUAUGCGCUAUAUUAUUAUGUCGUGAUCCGGGAUAAAUCAUGAUGAAUGUGCCUGAAUUUUGUGUGCUAUGUGCAGGUUGUGUGUACAGACUAUGAAUCUAUGUAAGAAAACUAAACAGUUAGACUAAAAUUUAAGAAAAGUCUAAAUUAAUAGAAAACGUAUUGUUGUAAAUUUUCAUUUUCUUUUUGCAAAUGAAAACAAUAUUUAUAUCUAAAAACGUGGUUCCAUUUUAUUUA